This 200-nucleotide ribosomal RNA is filed under the name uncultured prokaryote. RNAcentral describes it as "partial 16S ribosomal RNA". It matches the Rfam family "Bacterial small subunit ribosomal RNA", at positions 1184 to 1382 of the family's 1533-position model. The record is from RNAcentral.
GUCAAAUCAGCACGGCCCUUACGUCCGGGGCGACACACGUGUUACAAUGGGGGGUACAGAGGGUUGCUACUGCGCGAGCAGAUGCUAAUCUCUUAAAACCCCUCUCAGUUCGGAUAGGAGUCUGCAACUCGACUCCUUGAAGCUGGAUUCGCUAGUAAUCGCGCAUCAGCCAUGGCGCGGUGAAUACGUUCCCGGGCCUU